Molecule: ribosomal RNA, 119 nt
Filed under: Pteropus alecto (black flying fox)
Lineage: Eukaryota; Metazoa; Chordata; Mammalia; Chiroptera; Pteropodidae
Source: RNAcentral
GUCUACGGCCACGCCACCCUGAACAAGCCCGAUCCCGUCUGAUCUCAGAAGCUGAGCAGGGUCGGGCCUGGUUAGUCCUUGGAUGGGAGACCACCUAGGAAGACCAGGUGCUGUAGGCA